Molecule: long non-coding RNA, 512 nt
Filed under: Anas platyrhynchos platyrhynchos (common mallard)
Lineage: Eukaryota; Metazoa; Chordata; Aves; Anseriformes; Anatidae
Description: lncRNA (ENSAPLG00000028492.1)
Source: RNAcentral
UCAGGCACACGAUGAGUAGAAAGGACUCGAUGGAUGGCAGCGGUGAGGAGCUUACAAGAAGAAAAUUGGAAGCUAUAAGGCAGUGCCUUAAGAUACUGGAAGAGGACUUAACGGAAGAAAGUCACAGAAGUGACUUGUGUUGUAUAUUAAAUGAUACAAGUGUGAAAGAGAUCAGUGAUGGGGAUGAAGAGACUGAUUUUUCUGGUUCCUUUUCUACAGAGCCCAAAUUGGAUGUUAAACUUGGAUUGAGUGGUAGCAGCUCAGAAGAUCUAGGAAGGCCCUUCAGUUCCAACACCGAAGAGAAAGGUGUUCAGUGCCUGAUUUCCUCAGAUAGUGGGCUAAGCUGUAAACCAGGUGUAGCUCCAUCAGCAGACACGGAAAACAAAACUCUGGAAGACAUCAUUGAAGCUUUGUGGAUAGGUAUUUGUAAUCUCAGCCGCUUGCAAGAUGCAGAUGAGGAAAAAGGAACUGUGUGCAGAAUUAGUGGAGGGCAUCAACAACUACAGUGCUGA